Molecule: non-coding RNA, 117 nt
Filed under: Pan paniscus (pygmy chimpanzee)
Lineage: Eukaryota; Metazoa; Chordata; Mammalia; Primates; Hominidae
Also listed under: 1 other name
Source: Rfam by way of RNAcentral
GCUGGGUGUGGUGGCUCACGCCUGUAAUCCCAGCACUUUGGGAGGCCGAGGUGGGUGGAUCACCUGAGGUCAGGAGUUCGAAACCAGCCUGACCAACAUGGUGAAACCCUGUCUCUA